This is a non-coding RNA of Lactuca sativa (garden lettuce), 1306 nucleotides long. NCBI's taxonomy places the organism in Eukaryota, Viridiplantae, Streptophyta, Magnoliopsida, Asterales, Asteraceae. The record is from RefSeq and is a predicted model, not a curated record.
UUUAAUUCUUUGCUUCUUGGAGAACCACAAAAUAGAAAUUGGAUAAAAAGAAACAACCAAAUGUGAUGUGAUUGCUCAACAAGUCAGGCUUUUGCCCAGUUUAUAAUCUAAAAGAAAAGACUUCAUUUAUCCUUUUUUGUUGCUGUGAGAUUUACGAUGUCAAGAAAAUUGGAACAUGUAUCUAUUUAGAUGUCAUAGAUUUCAAGAACAAAAAUUUUUGUUGACUUAAACUCUUCUUAGACGAUUUUCUGGUAUAAAGAUGUUGUUGCACAAUCCUUUUGAUCAAAACCCUCCUCCAUUCCAACCUGAACCUUUCUCCAUCACCCCUCACCCCUUACCAUUUUCACCAUCAACCACCAACAUAUCCCCACCUUAUACCUCCGUGAAAAACCAUCAUACCCUACAUCGAACCAAUCUUGAACCACCAUCCAACGCCACCCUUCUCCCUAAUUCCCUUCACAGCCUCCACCAUAAACUACCCUUACCUCCACCAUUCCCACCUAAAACCACUGUCAGGCACCUUUAAUCACCAAAGAUCUCUAUUAUUGCUCCAUUCCAGCCAACCUUCACCAUAACCCCACCUCUAUUAACCUCAAUUACAGUCUCCAUCUUCAACCAUUACAAUCACCAUUCUUCCACCUGUCAACACCCAUUACCUUACCAGCCUUCAACUGACAUAAACAUCACCCAACACCACCACCUCCCUAAUCAGACUUCAUCCAUUUAUCACCACUAACAUCAGCUUCCACCAGUCGGACCACUAGCCAGCCACCAUAACCAUAUCACAGCAGAAAAAAAAAGAGAAGAAGAGAGAAGGGUGUGGUGAUCAACCUAACUCCGCUACCUGCGAUCGAUUUUGAGAAAGAAGUUUGAUACCUGCGAUGCUCGGUGGGUGUCUAUCAAUUCGAGAACAAAAAUGAACGUGUCGCAGAAAAGCGGGGCUGGGAUUUCAGAUUUCUUCUUUUUGCUGGCUGAAACGCUUGCAAGGGGUAGAUGUGUGUUGGGCUGACUACAUCUCAUUGUGUGGGCUGUUGCAUUCCUUUGUUGGGCUACACAUGCAGGCAGCAAAAGAUUCAAGGGGGUAAUUCUUGUGUGGGUAGAGGGGUGUUGGGCUAACUACAUCUCGUUGUGGGCUGCUGCAUUCCUUUGUUGGGCUACACAUGCAGGCAUCAAAAGAGUCAAGGAGAGUAAUUCUUGUGGGAAUUUUUGUUUAUCUUAGUUAACUUUGAAUUAUUCCCAGCAUUGUAAUGAAAUAAGUUGAACACCGAUUUUAUUAGGUUUAAUUUUGUUCAAUGUUAUGGAGUAA